RNAcentral lists this unclassified non-coding RNA (350 nucleotides) under plant metagenome. RNAcentral's name for it is "partial contains 5.8S ribosomal RNA, internal transcribed spacer 2, and large subunit ribosomal RNA". The stretch from base 1 to 105 matches the Rfam family "5.8S ribosomal RNA", at positions 50 to 154 of the family's 154-position model. The record is from RNAcentral.
GAAAUGCGAUAAGUAAUGUGAAUUGCAGAAUUCAGUGAAUCAUCGAAUCUUUGAACGCACCUUGCGCUCCUUGGUAUUCCGAGGAGCAUGCCUGUUUGAGUGUCAUGGAAUUCUCAACUCUAUUUGCUUUUGUGAAUAGAGCUUGGAUUUGGAGGUUUAUUGCUGGUACUUGUGAUCGGCUCCUCUUGAAUGCAUUAGCUCAAACCUUUGCGGAUCAGCUAUCGGUGUGAUAAUUGUCUACGCCGUUGCAGUGAAGCAUAUCAAUGGGCUCGGCUUCCAAUCGUCCUUUACUGGACAAUGACUUUGACCUUUGACCUCAAAUCAGGUAGGAUUACCCGCUGAACUUAAGC